CCCUUAGAUGUUCUGGGCCGCACGCGCGCUACACUGAUGCAUUCAACGAGUCUAAAACCUGCUCUGAUAGGGGUGGGUAAUCUUUUGAAUGUGCAUCGUGAUUGGGAUAGAUGAUUGAAAUUUUUCAUCUUCAACGAGGAAUGCCUAGUAAACGCAAGUCAUCAGCUUGCAUUGAUUACGUCCCUGCCCUUUGUACACGCCGCCCGUCGCUCCUACCGAUUGAAUGAUCCGAUGAAUAUCAUGGAUUGAGGAUGCAAGUAGGUUCACCUAUCUUCAUCUUCGAGAAGUGAAGUAAAUCUUAUCAUUUAGAGGAAGGAGAAGUCGUAACA
RNAcentral lists this ribosomal RNA (329 nucleotides) under uncultured eukaryote. Its description in RNAcentral is "partial 18S ribosomal RNA". It matches the Rfam family "Eukaryotic small subunit ribosomal RNA", at positions 1470 to 1796 of the family's 1831-position model. The record is from RNAcentral.